RNAcentral lists this ribosomal RNA (462 nucleotides) under uncultured bacterium. RNAcentral describes it as "bacterial SSU rRNA". It matches the Rfam family "Bacterial small subunit ribosomal RNA", at positions 29 to 497 of the family's 1533-position model. The record is from RNAcentral.
AACGAACGCUUGCGGCAUGCUUAAAACAUGCAAGUCGAACGAGAAAGUGGCUUCGGCCAUGAGUAUAGUGGCGCACGGGUGAGUAACACGUAGCUAACGUUCCUCUUCGCUGGGGAUAACUUCGGGAAACCGAAACUAAUACCGAAUGAUCUGAUACGGUCUUUGGGCUGUAUCGGUAAAGCCUUCGGGCGCGAGGAGAUCGGGUUGCGUCCCAUUAGCUAGUUGGUAGGGUAAUGGCCUACCAAGGCUACGAUGGGUAGCUGGUCUGAGAGGAUGAUCAGCCACACUGGAACUGAAACACGGUCCAGACUCCCACGGGAGGCAGCAGUUGGGAAUAUUGGACAAUGGGGGAAACCCUGAUCCAGCAAUGCCGCGUGAAUGAUGAAGGCCUUCGGUCGUAAAGUUCUUUUAGUCAGGGAAGAAGGGAAACGUUAGACUGUACCUGCAGAAAAAGACACCGGC